Molecule: ribosomal RNA, 458 nt
Filed under: uncultured bacterium
Lineage: Bacteria
Description: partial 16S ribosomal RNA
Rfam family: Bacterial small subunit ribosomal RNA
Source: RNAcentral
CCUACGGGUGGCAGCAGUGGGGAAUAUUGCACAAUGGGGGAAACCCUGAUGCAGCGACGCCGCGUGAGUGAAGAAGUAAUUCGUUACGUAAAGCUCUAUCAGCAGGGAAGAAAUACUGACCUUACGGUCAGCAGACGGUACCUGAGUAAGAAGCCCCGGCUAACUACGUGCCAGCAGUCGCGGUAAUACGCAGGGGGCAAGCGUUAUCCGGAUUUACUGGGUGGAAAGGGAGCGUAGACGGUGCGCCAAGUCUGAAGUGAAAUGCCGCAGCUUAACUGCGGAACUGCUUUGGAAACUGGCGAACUAGAGUGCGGGAGGGGUAGGCGGAAUUCCUGGUGUAGCGGUGAAAUACGUAGAUAUUAAGAGGAACACCGGUGGCGAAGGCGGCUUACUGGACCGUAACUGACGUUGAGGCUCGAAAGCGUGGGGAGCAAACAGGAUUAGAUACCCCAGUAGUC